This 468-nucleotide ribosomal RNA is filed under the name uncultured bacterium. RNAcentral's name for it is "partial 16S ribosomal RNA". It matches the Rfam family "Bacterial small subunit ribosomal RNA", at positions 28 to 507 of the family's 1533-position model. The record is from RNAcentral.
GACGAACGCUGGCGGCGUGCUUAACACAUGCAAGUCGAACGGAAAGGCCCUGCUUUUGUGGGGUGCUCGAGUGGCGAACGGGUGAGUAACACGUGAGUAACCUGCCCUUGACUUUGGGAUAACUUCAGGAAACUGGGGCUAAUACCGGAUAGGAGCUCCUGCUGCAUGGUGGGGGUUGGAAAGUUUCGGCGGUUGGGGAUGUACUCGCGGCUUAUCAGCUUGUUGGUGGGGUAGUGGCUUACCAAGGCUUUGACGGGUAGCCGGCCUGAGAGGGUGACCGGCCACAUUGGGACUGAGAUACGGCCCAGACUCCUACGGGAGGCAGCAGUGGGGAGUAUUGCACAGUGGGCGGAAGCCUGAUGCAGCAACGCCGCGUGCGGGAUGACGGCCUUCGGGUUGUAAACCGCUUUCGCCUGUGACGAAGCGUGAGUGACGGUAAUGGGUAAAGAAGCACCGGCUAACUACGUG